RNAcentral lists this ribosomal RNA (506 nucleotides) under uncultured bacterium. Its description in RNAcentral is "partial 16S ribosomal RNA". It matches the Rfam family "Bacterial small subunit ribosomal RNA", at positions 29 to 523 of the family's 1533-position model. The record is from RNAcentral.
AGUGAACGCUGGCGGUAGGCCUAACACAUGCAAGUCGAACGGCAGCACAGAGGAGCUUGCUCCUUGGGUGGCGAGUGGCGGACGGGUGAGGAAUACAUCGGAAUCUACUCUGUCGUGGGGGAUAACGUAGGGAAACUUACGCUAAUACCGCAUACGACCUACGGGUGAAAGCAGGGGAUCUUCGGACCUUGCGCGAUUGAAUGAGCCGAUGUCGGAUUAGCUAGUUGGCGGGGUAAAGGCCCACCAAGGCGACGAUCCGUAGCUGGUCUGAGAGGGUGAUCAGCCACACUGGAGCUGAGACACGGUCCAGACUCCUACGGGAGGCAGCAGUGGGGAAUAUUGGACAAUGGGCGCAAGCCUGAUUCAGCCAUACCGCGUGGGUGAAGAAGGCCUUCGGGUUGUAAAGCCCUUUUGUUGGGAAAGAAAUCCAUCUGGUUAAUACCCGGGUGGGAUGACGGUACCCAAAGAAUAAGCACCGGCUAACUUCGUGCCAGCCGCCGCAGUAA